GAUCCAUCCCACACUGACCUGACCUGGGCCUGCACCCCAGGCCUAUGAGGAGCCUGGCCUGGAGUAGGAGCUCCACCCACAGCAUCAUGUGGCCCUAACAGAGGCUUGGUCCAUGGCAAGACAGAGCACUGGGGACACAGGAAAGACA
Hyaena hyaena (striped hyena) is the source of this 148-nucleotide long non-coding RNA. RefSeq lists it as uncharacterized. The record is from RefSeq and is a predicted model, not a curated record. The transcript is spliced from 3 exons. NCBI's taxonomy places the organism in Eukaryota, Metazoa, Chordata, Mammalia, Carnivora, Hyaenidae.